Molecule: ribosomal RNA, 490 nt
Filed under: uncultured bacterium
Lineage: Bacteria
Description: partial 16S ribosomal RNA
Rfam family: Bacterial small subunit ribosomal RNA
Source: RNAcentral
AUUGAACGCUGGCGGCAUGCUUUACACAUGCAAGUCGGACGGCAGCACAGAGAAGCUUGCUUCUUGGGUGGCGAGUGGCGAACGGGUGAGUAACAUAUCGGAACGUACCGAGCAGUGGGGGAUAACUAAUCGAAAGAUUAGCUAAUACCGCAUAUCUUCUGAGGAAGAACGCAGGGGACCAUUUGGCCUUGCGCUGUUUGAGCGGCCGAUAUCUGAUUAGCUAGUUGGUGGGGUAAAGGCCUACCAAGGCGACGAUCAGUAGCGGGUCUGAGAGGAUGAUCCGCCACACUGGGACUGAGACACGGCCCAGACUCCUACGGGAGGCAGCAGUGGGGAAUUUUGGACAAUGGGCGCAAGCCUGAUCCAGCCAUGCCGCGUGUCUGAAGAAGGCCUUCGGGUUGUAAAGGACUUUUGUCAGGGAAGAAAAGGGCGGGGUUAAUACCCCUGUCUGAUGACGGUACCUGAAGAAUAAGCACCGGCUAACUACGUG